Molecule: long non-coding RNA, 387 nt
Filed under: Drosophila guanche
Lineage: Eukaryota; Metazoa; Arthropoda; Insecta; Diptera; Drosophilidae
Source: RNAcentral
GUAAAUAUAAAAUGAUUUUCUGGAGAAGUGAAACCGAGGCCUGACAUUUUAACAAGUUAUUUAUCAGCAGUUCCUUUUCCACUUGUUUGCCUCAUUUGAAAUUGAUUUCAAGUCUAAGAAUCAAGUGGAAAGACAUCGUCACCCCAUUGAUUACCACUUCAACUGGCAGGGAAGUUUUUUGAAGCUCUUUUUUAAUUGCAGAACAUAUUCAGCUAAUUAGUUGGAGGUCUUCUCCCACAGGCAGUUGACUUUGGAGUCUCCUGACUGCGCUGAUGAUGAUGAUAGAAGGGCCCGUAAUGACCCUGUCACAUACGGACACUUGAGAGAGCAAAAACUUUUUGGAGAUCGCUGCUGCACUUCAAAGCUACGACCCGACCGAACCGACAC